RNAcentral lists this ribosomal RNA (200 nucleotides) under uncultured bacterium. RNAcentral's name for it is "partial 16S ribosomal RNA". It matches the Rfam family "Bacterial small subunit ribosomal RNA", at positions 8 to 243 of the family's 1533-position model. The record is from RNAcentral.
AGAGUUUGAUCAUGGCUCAGAGCGAACGCUGGCGGCAGGCCUAAUACAUGCAAGUCGAACGCACCUUCGGGUGAGUGGCGGACGGGUGAGUAACACGUGGGAACGUGCCCUUUGGUUCGGAAUAAUCCGGGGAAACCUGGCCUAAUACCGAAUGUGUCGGGAAGGAAUUUAUCGCCAUUGGAGCGGCCCGCGUCUGAUUA